This 105-nucleotide ribosomal RNA is filed under the name chicken gut metagenome. The record is from RNAcentral.
UGGCGGCCAUGGCGGAGAGGUAAUACCCGUUCCCAUCCCGAACACGGAAGUCAAGCUCUCCUGCGCCGAUGAUACUGCGUAUGCGGGAAAGUAGGUCGCUGCCAG